RNAcentral lists this long non-coding RNA (499 nucleotides) under Cricetulus griseus (Chinese hamster). Its description in RNAcentral is "lncRNA (ENSCGRG00015041787.1)". Lineage: Eukaryota; Metazoa; Chordata; Mammalia; Rodentia; Cricetidae. The record is from RNAcentral.
UGACAUUCGGUGAUAGUGUCACCAGUGGAACCAUGAGGCAAUUUUCAAAAAGUAAAGUCUAAGCCAUGCAUCCUGUCACCCCACCCUGUGGUCAUCUCAGUCACCCUGUGUGUGUGUGUGCCUCCAUCUGUGGACUCUGUGCUGGUGUAAUCUGACCAAAGUGAGUAUCAGAGGCAGAAGUAGGCAGAAGGAGAGACCCGUGGGCAAUACCUGGAAGGGUGAGAGGCAGAAUAGAGGUGGGAGGUGCCUCAUAGAUGGACCAGUCCCAGCUUGCUCAUUGCAGGGUAGAGCCAUGGUGAAGGGGAACAAGUCAGAGAAGUGCUGACACUUGGUGGUGAGGACCAGCUGGCAGACAUGCCCAGAUGGGAUUACAAAUCCAGGGAAGCUGAUGUGAAGAUGAACCAGAACUUGGAGGUUGGACCCAAGACCUCAUAUGUGCUAGAGAGAAAAAGGAAAAAAGAAGUGGGCAAUUUCAUUCUGGAAGCUGCAGUAUGACACG